RNAcentral lists this transfer RNA (85 nucleotides) under Felis catus (domestic cat). It matches the Rfam family "tRNA". Rfam says of the family: Transfer RNA (tRNA) molecules are approximately 80 nucleotides in length. Their secondary structure includes four short double-helical elements and three loops (D, anti-codon, and T loops). Lineage: Eukaryota; Metazoa; Chordata; Mammalia; Carnivora; Felidae. The record is from Rfam by way of RNAcentral.
GCCUGGGUGGCUCAGUUGGUUGAGCGUCUGACUUUGGCUCAGGUCAUGAUCUCAUGGCCGGUGAGUUCGAGCCCCACGUCGGGCU